Molecule: ribosomal RNA, 167 nt
Filed under: Cercamia eremia (glassy cardinalfish)
Lineage: Eukaryota; Metazoa; Chordata; Actinopteri; Kurtiformes; Apogonidae
Description: partial 12S rRNA
Source: RNAcentral
CACCGCGGUUAUACGAGAGGCCCAAGCUGACAAUCAACGGCGUAAAGAGUGGUUAAUAAACCCAGAACUAAAGCCGAACGUCUACAAAGUUGUAUAAUACAUUCGAAGAUAUGAAGACCAACCACGAAAGUGACUUUACAUCCUUUGAACCCACGAAAGCUAGGGAA